This is a non-coding RNA of Mauremys mutica (yellowpond turtle), 533 nucleotides long. The record is from the annotation of a RefSeq genome assembly. Lineage: Eukaryota; Metazoa; Chordata; Testudines; Geoemydidae.
GGCUCCAUGUCACAGAUCAUGGUGCAUUGAGCAGCAGCUGUCAGUCCGGAGAUCUCAAGAUGAAGUCACACACACUGCUCAUCUGGAUGCUAGUCUUUUUUAUGAAGGAUGCCAGCGGGCAGAUUGUGAUGACCCAGACGCCAGAAUCCCUCUCAGUGUCUCCAGGAGACAGAGUUACCAUCAACUGCAAAGCCAGUACAAGCAUCAGCAGCAACAUAGCCUGGUACCAACAGAAAUCAGGACAAGCUCCUAAGCUCUUGUUCUAUGGUUCUUCCACCCGUCCCUCUGGGGUCCCAGACCGGUUCAGCGGCAGUGGGUCGGGCACUGACUACACAUUCACCAUCAGCAGGGUUGAAGCAGAUGAUGCUGGAGAUUAUUAUUGUCAGCAGUAUAACAGCUGGCCUCUCACAGUGAUACAGACCAGCACAAAAACCUCCCUGUUCUGUUUAGUUUCAGACUUUCACUCAAUGUUUCAGCUGCUUCCUGUGCAGCAUCCUCUCAGCUCUCACAGACCCAACUUCUCUGGAUACUAG